AGUCGGUCCAAUCUAAUUCUGCAUCAUGGUUUAUUUAUGUAGUCUCGCUUUCGAGACAAAACUAAACCCCACAUCUUUUCUUAUUCCUUGUGUUGCUAGCAUUCUUCCCCGUCCAAUGCACACGAGAAACGUAAAAGAACAACA
Molecule: small nucleolar RNA, 144 nt
Organism: Drosophila obscura
Lineage: Eukaryota; Metazoa; Arthropoda; Insecta; Diptera; Drosophilidae
Product: small nucleolar RNA psi28S-1192
Exons: 1
Source: RefSeq, a predicted model, not a curated record